UGUGACCUCAAAUCAGGUAGGACUACCCGCUGAACUUAAGCAUAUCAAUAAGCGGAGGAAAAGAAACUAACAAGGAUUCCCCUAGUAACUGCGAGUGAAGCGGGAAAAGCUCAAAUUUAAAAUCUGGCAGUCUUUUGGCUGUCCGAGUUGUAAUCUAGAGAAGUGUUAUCCGCGCUGGACCAUGUACAAGUCUCCUGGAAUGGAGCAUCAUAGAGGGUGAGAAUCCCGUCUUUGACAUGGACUUCCAGGGCUUUGUGAUGCGCUCUCAAAGAGUCGAGUUGUUUGGGAAUGCAGCUCAAAAUGGGUGGUAAAUUCCAUCUAAAGCUAAAUAUUGGCGAGAGACCGAUAGCGAACAAGUACCGUGAGGGAAAGAUGAAAAGAACUUUGGAAAGAGAGUUAAACAGUACGUGAAAUUGCUGAAAGGGAAACGCUUGAAGUCAGUCGCGUCGUCCAGGGAUCAACCUUGCUUUUGCUUGGUGCACUUCCUGGUUUGAUGGGUCAGCAUCAAUUUUGACUAUUGGAAAAAGGUUAAGGGAAUGUGGCAUCUUUGGAUGUGUUUAUAGCCCUUGGUCACAUACAAUGGUUGGGAUUGAGGAACUCAGCACGCCGCAAGGCCGGG
Molecule: ribosomal RNA, 619 nt
Filed under: Cortinarius traganus
Lineage: Eukaryota; Fungi; Basidiomycota; Agaricomycetes; Agaricales; Cortinariaceae
Description: eukaryotic LSU rRNA
Rfam family: Eukaryotic large subunit ribosomal RNA
Source: RNAcentral